Molecule: long non-coding RNA, 560 nt
Filed under: Astyanax mexicanus (Mexican tetra)
Lineage: Eukaryota; Metazoa; Chordata; Actinopteri; Characiformes; Acestrorhamphidae
Description: lncRNA (ENSAMXG00005012500.1)
Source: RNAcentral
AUAUGUGUGUUGUAGCGGUGAGAGUGCUUCCGCCUAUUCCUGGAGCAGCGAUCAUGCCCAGUGUUCCCGCAGUGCCAGCUGCAGUGCCGGCUACUCCAGAUGCUAAUACUGUAAUGGCCCAGCAGCAGCAGGCUAUCAUCAACCAGCAAGCUGUCAUUAUGGCCCAGCAGAUGACCAUGCAGGCCAUGGCUAUGGUGACCAGCCCACCCAUGUCUCCACUUACCAGCCCACCCACCAGCCCACCCCCAACUCCUUACAACACCCUUCCCCCUAGCCCUUACCCUGCAAUCCCACCAAGCCCUUAUGCCAACAUCCCUCCCAGCCCGUAUGCCCAUGUCACCCCCUCAUCCUCCUACAGUGGUUCACUGGUCAGCCCCUACCCCAGCGCAACCCCAAACCCAGUGCCUUCAUCCCCCACCAGCCCUGAAACUCAGAGUCCAACCAGUCAAAUCGGCCCACUGAAGACCCCUCAGCUACGGAAAACCACUCCAGCACAGGUUCAGUUCACUUUUAGUGCAUUUUAUUAGAAACACCUACCUACACUUCUGCUUACGCUCACU